CAGCCGCCGCGGUAAUACCGGCGGCCCGAGUGGCGGUCACUAUUAUUGGGCUUAAAGCGUCCGUAGCCGGGUUGGGAAAUCCUCCGGGAAAUCUGGCCGCUUAACGGUCAGAAUGCCGGAGGAUACUCCCAGCCUAGGGAGCGGGAGAGGCCGAGGGUAUUCCCGGAGUAGGGGUGAAAUCCUAUAAUCCCGGGAGGACCACCUGUGGCGAAGGGGCGCGGCUGGAACGCGUCCGACGGUGAGGGACGAAGGCCAGGGGAGCAAACCGGAUUAGAUACCCGGGUAGUCCUGGCUGUAAACGAUGCGGACUUUGUGUCGGACAAGCUAUGAGCUUGUCCGGUGCCGGAGGGAAACCGUUAAGUCCGCCGCCUGGGGAGUACGGCCGCAAGGCUGAAACUUAAAGGAAUUGGCGGG
RNAcentral lists this ribosomal RNA (414 nucleotides) under uncultured microorganism. Its description in RNAcentral is "bacterial SSU rRNA". It matches the Rfam family "Archaeal small subunit ribosomal RNA", at positions 459 to 872 of the family's 1478-position model. The record is from RNAcentral.